GGCGGCGUGCCUAAUACAUGCAAGUCGAGCGCAGGAAGCCAUCCGAACCCUUCGGGGGGACGUUGACGGAAUGAGCGGCGGACGGGUGAGUAACACGUAAAGAACCUGCCCUCAGGUCUGGGAUAACCACGAGAAAUCGGGGCUAAUACCGGAUGGGUCAUCGGACCGCAUGGUCCGAGGAUGAAAGGCGCUUCGGCGUCGCCUGGGGAUGGCUUUGCGGUGCAUUAGCUAGUUGGUGGGGUAACGGCCCACCAAGGCGACGAUGCAUAGCCGACCUGAGAGGGUGAUCGGCCACACUGGGACUGAGACACGGCCCAGACUCCUACGGGAGGCAGCAGUAGGGAAUCUUCCACAAUGGACGAAAGUCUGAUGGAGCAAACGCCGCGUGAAACGACGAAGGGCCCCUCGGGUUCGUAAAAGUUUCUGUUGUAAAGGGA
RNAcentral lists this ribosomal RNA (437 nucleotides) under Bacillus sp. oral taxon B77. RNAcentral's name for it is "bacterial SSU rRNA". It matches the Rfam family "Bacterial small subunit ribosomal RNA", at positions 38 to 446 of the family's 1533-position model. The record is from RNAcentral. Lineage: Bacteria; Bacillati; Bacillota; Bacilli; Caryophanales; Bacillaceae.